Molecule: ribosomal RNA, 433 nt
Filed under: uncultured bacterium
Lineage: Bacteria
Description: partial 16S ribosomal RNA
Rfam family: Bacterial small subunit ribosomal RNA
Source: RNAcentral
AACGAACGCUGGCGGCAUGCCUAACGCAUGCAAGUCGAACGAGACCUUCGGGUCUAGUGGCGCACGGGUGCGUAACGCGUGGGAACCUGCCCUUAGGUUCGGAAUAACUCCCCGAAAGGGGUGCUAAUACCGGAUAAUGUCUUCGGACCAAAGAUUUAUCGCCUUUGGAUGGGCCCGCGUUGGAUUAGCUAGUUGGUAGGGUAAAAGCCUACCAAGGCGACGAUCCAUAGCUGGUCUGAGAGGAUGAUCAGCCACACUGGGACUGAGACACGGCCCAGACUCCUACGGGAGGCAGCAGUGGGGAAUAUUGGACAAUGGGCGAAAGCCUGAUCCAGCAAUGCCGCGUGAGUGAUAAAGGCCUUAGGGUUGUAAAGCUCUUUUACCCGGGAUGAUAAUGACAGUACCGGGAGAAUAAGCUCCGGCUAACUCCGUG